GCACUGUUGGUUUGGUGAUAGAAUUCUCACCUUCCAUGUGGGAGACCCAGGUUCGAUUUCUGGUCAGUGCA
Molecule: transfer RNA, 71 nt
Filed under: Loxodonta africana (African savanna elephant)
Lineage: Eukaryota; Metazoa; Chordata; Mammalia; Proboscidea; Elephantidae
Rfam family: tRNA
About the family: Transfer RNA (tRNA) molecules are approximately 80 nucleotides in length. Their secondary structure includes four short double-helical elements and three loops (D, anti-codon, and T loops). Further hydrogen bonds mediate the characteristic L-shaped molecular structure. tRNAs have two regions of fundamental functional importance: the anti-codon, which is responsible for specific mRNA codon recognition, and the 3' end, to which the tRNAs corresponding amino acid is attached (by aminoacyl-tRNA synthetases). tRNAs cope with the degeneracy of the genetic code in two manners: having more than one tRNA (with a specific anti-codon) for a particular amino acid; and 'wobble' base-pairing, i.e. permitting non-standard base-pairing at the 3rd anti-codon position.
Source: Rfam by way of RNAcentral